Ailuropoda melanoleuca (giant panda) is the source of this 826-nucleotide long non-coding RNA. RefSeq lists it as uncharacterized. The record is from RefSeq and is a predicted model, not a curated record. The transcript has 4 exons. Lineage: Eukaryota; Metazoa; Chordata; Mammalia; Carnivora; Ursidae.
UUUUUCAUUUCUCCCUUGUGUUUCUCUUCCUUUCCUUAGUGACCCUUGUUGUGUCAGCCUUUCUAUGCAUGAUCAGUUCCCUGUGAUCUAUGGAAAACUCCCACCUCAGGAAUUUGAAGCCUGUGGGAACUGACAGAGGAAGACCACCGCAUCUGUUGAAAGCCUGUGGUCUGUUGGGCUCCGUGUAUACUCUCUCCACAGCCCUACAAGGAAUGACUCUGAUGGUGGAAUUUCAAGAAUCAAGGGAAGCAAGUGAAGAUGAAACUUCAAAGCAGCAGAGGUUUCUUAACACCCUUCGAUGUUUAGGACAUAAGUGACCACUUAUUCAUGAGCCAUUCAUGGGUGAGACUGAUCCUGGAGGUUGAUGGAGGACAGCUAAUGUAGGUGGCUGAAAGGUGCUUGACCAGAGUGUGCCUCUGAAAAAAGACAAAAAACAAACAAAAACCCCCCCAAACCCAAGAGUCCUUUUGCUGGUUCACUAUCUGGAGCCUAUAAGGACUGUGACAACUGUGACACAGCUGAGGAUGAGCAAGAGGAAAUUAAGCUGCAUGGAAGCUUUAUGAGGUUCUUCUCCUGGAGGGCAAUUCCAGACAUAUUCAAGUAGGGGCAUUAUCCAGCCUCUGAGAGAUUCCAAGAGAUUCCCAAGCAUUCAAAAAAUGAUGGAACUCUUAUCUCAAUCAAAUAAAAACACACAUAUCAUAACUAUCUGAUAGUGAGCUCUCCGCUGGUUGGGAGGAGGUGGUCAUGCAUAAACCUGGGGUGGUCAUGGGUCUACAUGCUCUAGCUUCUCAGAGCAGGCGUCCAGAUAUGAUAGAGGACCUGCCAG